RNAcentral lists this ribosomal RNA (292 nucleotides) under uncultured bacterium. RNAcentral's name for it is "partial 16S ribosomal RNA". It matches the Rfam family "Bacterial small subunit ribosomal RNA", at positions 505 to 796 of the family's 1533-position model. The record is from RNAcentral.
GUGUCAGCAGCCGCGGUAAUACGGGGGGGGCAAGCGUUGUUCGGAAUUACUGGGCGUAAAGGGCGCGUAGGCGGCCUGCUAAGUCGGAUGUGAAAUCCCUCGGCUCAACCGAGGAACUGCAUCCGAUACUGGCGGGCUUGAAUCCGGGAGAGGGAUGUGGAAUUCCAGGUGUAGCGGUGAAAUGCGUAGAUAUCUGGAGGAACACCGGUGGCGAAGGCGGCAUCCUGGACCGGUAUUGACGCUGAGGCGCGAAAGCUAGGGGAGCAAACGGGAUUAGAUACCCCGGUAGUCC